RNAcentral lists this ribosomal RNA (513 nucleotides) under Pyrenophora tritici-repentis. RNAcentral describes it as "eukaryotic LSU rRNA". The stretch from base 184 to 337 matches the Rfam family "5.8S ribosomal RNA". The record is from RNAcentral. Lineage: Eukaryota; Fungi; Ascomycota; Dothideomycetes; Pleosporales; Pleosporaceae.
CAUUACACAAAUAUGAAGCCGGACUGGGAUAGGGCCUCGCUGCCUUGCCCGUCUGGCGCCAUAUUCACCCAUGUCUUUUUGCGUACUACUUGUUUCCUUGGCGGGUCCGCCCGCCAAUUGGACCUUAUUCAAACCUUUUUUUCAGUUGCAAUCAGCGUCAGCAAAACAAAUGUAAUCAAUUACAACUUUCAACAACGGAUCUCUUGGUUCUGGCAUCGAUGAAGAACGCAGCGAAAUGCGAUAAGUAGUGUGAAUUGCAGAAUUCAGUGAAUCAUCGAAUCUUUGAACGCACAUUGCGCCCUUUGGUAUUCCAAAGGGCAUGCCUGUUCGAGCGUCAUUUGUACCCUCAAGCUUUGCUUGGUGUUGGGCGUCUUGUCUCUCUCCCGAGACUCGCCUUAAAAUCAUUGGCAGCCGGCCUACUGGUUUCGGAGCGCAGCACAUUAUUUGCGCUCUUGUCCAGCCGCGGUCGCGCGUCCAUGAAGCUUCUUUCAACCUUUUGACCUCGGAUCAGGU